Molecule: ribosomal RNA, 492 nt
Filed under: uncultured bacterium
Lineage: Bacteria
Description: partial 16S ribosomal RNA
Rfam family: Bacterial small subunit ribosomal RNA
Source: RNAcentral
AGUGAACGCUGGCGGUAGGCCUAACACAUGCAAGUCGAACGGCAGCACAGUUACAUCUUGCUCUUACCGGUGGCGAGUCGCGGACGUGUUAGGUCUACAUCUGACUCUACUUUUUCGUUAGGGAUACCGAAGGGGAACUUACGCUACUAACGCAUACGACCUACGGGUGAAAGCAGGGGAUCUUCGGACCUUGCGCGUUUGAAUGAGCCGAUGUCGGAUUAGCUAGUUGGCGGGGUAAAGGACGACCAAGGCGACGAGCCGUAGCUGGUCUGAGAGGAUGAUCAGCCACACUGGAACUGAGACACGGUCCAGACUCCUACGGGAGGCAGCAGUGGGGAAUAUUGGACAAUGGGCGCAAGCCUGAUCCAGCCAUACCGCGUGGGUGAAGAAGGCCUUCGGGUUGUAAAGCCCUUUUGUUGGGAAAGGAAAGCAGCAGGUUAAUACCCCGCUGUUCUGACGGUACCCAAAGAAUAAGCACCGGCUAACUUCGUG